CCACUGUAAAGCAUGGGCGGAGUUUGGGAUAGGGAGCCGGUGAUCCCUUUGCGUUGCGUGUCAGGAAGCGUCCAAGUUUGCAAGUACCGUUCCAGAAGUGCAGCUCCUAGCUGAGCCCCAGCAGCAUGGCUGCCCCAGGGAUUGAGGAGAGCGGCAGCAGUAAGACCAAACUGCCCAAGAGCCCUGAUUUUUCUGUAACACGCUUACAUGAAGAUUUUAUCUGGCUACACGACUCUCUCAUUGAGACUGAAGACUAUGCAGGAUUGAUUAUUCCCCCAGCCCCAGCAAAACCCAGCCCAAGAUUUUGAUGGGCCCCGAGAAAAAAUGCAGAAAUUGGGAGAGGGCGAAGGUUCCAUGACUAAGGAUGAAUUUUCCAAAAUGAAACAGGAAUUGGAAGCUGAGUAUUUGGCAGUGUAUAAGAAGACUGUGGCAGUGCAUGAAGUUUUCCUGCAGAGGAUAGCAUCGCACCCUAUUUUAUGCAAAGACACCAACUUACACAUUUUCCUAGAAAUUACCAAGAUGUGAUUAAGUGUAAGGAGGAAGAAUAUAAAAGAAAUGUUUGGAGUCUUCUUUAAGAGCAUGGUAAAAAGUGCAGAUGAGGUUUUGUUUUGUGGAGUAAAGGAAGUUGACGAGUUCUUUGAUCAAGAAAAAACCUUCCUGGUAAACUACUACAACAGGAUCAAGGACUCGUGUGCAAAAGCUGACAGAAUGACAAGAACUCACAAAAACGUCGCAGAUGAUUAUAUUCAUAUUUCGGCUGCCCUAACGUGUAGCUGAAGAGGAGAACACUCAAGUUAGAAAGUACUUGCUAAAGUUGGCCGAGUUGUUUGAAAAGCUUCGGUUCACAACUGGGUCGUGCAGUGAGGAGAUUUACAGUUGUGAGAUCUGUGCCAAAGGCUUUCAGUUAACGCAUGCUCAAUCGUCACCUCAAGUGUCAUAGUCAAGUAAAAAGGCACCUGUGCACCUUCUGCGGGAAAGGCUUUAAUGAUGCUUUUGACCUAUAAAGACACGUGAGGACUCGCACAGGCAUCCGCCCUUACAAAUGUGAGAUCUGCAACAAGGCAUUUACUCAGAGGUGUUCCCUGGAAUCUCACCUUAAGAAAAUCCACGGGGUUCAGCAGGGUUACGCUUACAAACAACGCAGGGAUAAGCUCUUUGUCUGUGAGGAUUGUGGCUACACUGGACCCUCCCAAGAGGACUUGUACCUACAUGUUUAUGAUAGCCACCCAGGAAACGCUUUCCUCAAGAAAACCACCAAAAAACUGGCAGCCAUUUUACAAACCAAAAUCACAUCUGUUCUUCAGAUAAAGUCCACAGCACAAGAAGAGGUGGAGGCAGAGUGAGAAGACAAACGGUGCUUAGACAGAUGUUUACAGAGUUUAUUAACUUUAUGAAACCAUUUUUUAUUGCCUAUUUUAUUGCUUUUUUUUAAAGUGGGGAGAUUUCUAAAUUAUACAAUGAACUCACCGUGGUUGGAUAUCUUUUUUUACAUUAUGACAAAUGAUUGGGCCAAAAAAUGUAUUCAAGUAUACAUUUUUAGAAUAUGAUUAUCUCGUGAAUGUGGUAUGAACUGUACAAUUGUAUAGCAGUGUAAAUAAAUAUAUUAGCCCUUAAAUUGAAGUA
Molecule: RNA transcript, 1623 nt
Organism: Xenopus tropicalis (tropical clawed frog)
Lineage: Eukaryota; Metazoa; Chordata; Amphibia; Anura; Pipidae
Gene name: sorting nexin-5-like
Exons: 10
Source: RefSeq, a predicted model, not a curated record